AGUCGAGAAUCUUCGGCAAUGGACGCAAGUCUGACCGAGCGACGCCGCGUGCGGGAUGAAGGCCUUCGGGUUGUAAACCGCUGUCAGUGGGGAGGAAGGCCGUGUGAAGAGCAUGGUUUGACCUAUCCGCAGAGGAAGUGUGGGCUAAGCUCGUGCCAGCAGCCGCGGUAAGACGAGCCACACAAACGUUAUUCGGAAUUACUGGGCUUAAAGGGUGCGUAGGCGGCGCGGAAAGUUGGGUGUGAAAUCCCUCGGCUCAACCGAGGAAUUGCGCUCAAAACUACCGUGCUCGAGGGAGAUAGAGGAGUGCGGAACUUACGGUGGAGCGGUGAAAUGCGUUGAUAUCGUAGGGAACACCGGUGGCGAAAGCGGCACUCUGGAUCUCAUCUGACGCUGAUGCACGAAAGCUAGGGUAGCAAA
RNAcentral lists this ribosomal RNA (420 nucleotides) under uncultured Planctomycetaceae bacterium. RNAcentral describes it as "bacterial SSU rRNA". It matches the Rfam family "Bacterial small subunit ribosomal RNA", at positions 353 to 772 of the family's 1533-position model. Lineage: Bacteria; Pseudomonadati; Planctomycetota; Planctomycetia; Planctomycetales; Planctomycetaceae. The record is from RNAcentral.